RNAcentral lists this ribosomal RNA (1010 nucleotides) under Lactiplantibacillus plantarum. RNAcentral describes it as "bacterial SSU rRNA". It matches the Rfam family "Bacterial small subunit ribosomal RNA", at positions 65 to 1061 of the family's 1533-position model. Lineage: Bacteria; Bacillati; Bacillota; Bacilli; Lactobacillales; Lactobacillaceae. The record is from RNAcentral.
UGCUUGCAUCAUGAUUUACAUUUGAGUGAGUGGCGAACUGGUGAGUAACACGUGGGAAACCUGCCCAGAAGCGGGGGAUAACACCUGGAAACAGAUGCUAAUACCGCAUAACAACUUGGACCGCAUGGUCCGAGUUUGAAAGAUGGCUUCGGCUAUCACUUUUGGAUGGUCCCGCGGCGUAUUAGCUAGAUGGUGAGGUAACGGCUCACCAUGGCAAUGAUACGUAGCCGACCUGAGAGGGUAAUCGGCCACAUUGGGACUGAGACACGGCCCAAACUCCUACGGGAGGCAGCAGUAGGGAAUCUUCCACAAUGGACGAAAGUCUGAUGGAGCAACGCCGCGUGAGUGAAGAAGGGUUUCGGCUCGUAAAACUCUGUUGUUAAAGAAGAACAUAUCUGAGAGUAACUGUUCAGGUAUUGACGGUAUUUAACCAGAAAGCCACGGCUAACUACGUGCCAGCAGCCGCGGUAAUACGUAGGUGGCAAGCGUUGUCCGGAUUUAUUGGGCGUAAAGCGAGCGCAGGCGGUUUUUUAAGUCUGAUGUGAAAGCCUUCGGCUCAACCGAAGAAGUGCAUCGGAAACUGGGAAACUUGAGUGCAGAAGAGGACAGUGGAACUCCAUGUGUAGCGGUGAAAUGCGUAGAUAUAUGGAAGAACACCAGUGGCGAAGGCGGCUGUCUGGUCUGUAACUGACGCUGAGGCUCGAAAGUAUGGGUAGCAAACAGGAUUAGAUACCCUGGUAGUCCAUACCGUAAACGAUGAAUGCUAAGUGUUGGAGGGUUUCCGCCCUUCAGUGCUGCAGCUAACGCAUUAAGCAUUCCGCCUGGGGAGUACGGCCGCAAGGCUGAGACUCAUAGGAAUUGACGGGGGCCCGCACAAGCGGUGGAGCAUGUGGUUUAAUUCGAAGCUACGCGAAGAACCUUACCAGGUCUUGACAUACUAUGCAAAUCUAAGAGAUUAGACGUUCCCUUCGGGGACAUGGAUACAGGUGGUGCAUGGUUGUCGUCAGCUC